GCUUCUGUAGUAUAACGGUCAGUACAACAGUUUGUGGAUCCAUCCGGUUCACUGUAGAUCCAGGUUCGAUUCCUGGCAGGGGCA
Non-coding RNA from Trichoderma citrinoviride, 84 nucleotides. Lineage: Eukaryota; Fungi; Ascomycota; Sordariomycetes; Hypocreales; Hypocreaceae. The record is from the annotation of a RefSeq genome assembly.